Molecule: regulatory RNA element, 59 nt
Organism: Corynebacterium phocae
Lineage: Bacteria; Bacillati; Actinomycetota; Actinomycetes; Mycobacteriales; Corynebacteriaceae
Rfam family: msiK RNA
Source: Rfam
UUGCUUACUUCUUCACUCGGAUCGUUCGGCACGUACCUGCCGAUGAAAGGAAGCCAUCA